Molecule: ribosomal RNA, 442 nt
Filed under: uncultured bacterium
Lineage: Bacteria
Description: partial 16S ribosomal RNA
Rfam family: Bacterial small subunit ribosomal RNA
Source: RNAcentral
CCUACGGGAGGCUGCAGUAGGGAAUCUUUCACAAUGGGCGAAAGCCUGAUGGAGCAACGCCGCGUGCAGGAUGAAGGCCUUCGGGUUGUAAACUGCUUUUAUAAGCGAGAAAUAUGAUGGUAACUUAUGAAUAAGGAUCGGCUAACUACGUGCCAGCAGCCGCGGUCAUACGUAGGAUCCGAGCAUUAUCCGGAGUGACUGGGUGUAAAGAGUUGCGUAGGUGGCAUAAUAAGUAGCGAGUGAAAUCUGGUGGCUCAACCAUUCAGACUAUUAGCUAAACUGUUAAGCUCGAGAACGUUAGGGGUAACUGGAAUUUCUAGUGUAGGAGUGAAAUCCGUAGAUAUUAGAAGGAACACCAAUAGCGUAGGCAGGUUACUGGGACGGUUCUGACACUAAGGCACGAAAGCGUAGGGAGCAAACGGGAUUAGAUACCCCAGUAGUC